This 1469-nucleotide ribosomal RNA is filed under the name metagenome. Its description in RNAcentral is "bacterial SSU rRNA". It matches the Rfam family "Bacterial small subunit ribosomal RNA". The record is from RNAcentral.
AGGGUUUGAUCCUGGCUCAGGACGAACGCUGGCGGCACGCUUAACACAUGCAAGUCGAACGAGAGAAGAGGAGCUUGCUUUUCUGAUCUAGUGGCGGACGGGUGAGUAACACGUGAGCAAUCUGCCUUUCAGAGGGGGGUACCGAUUGGAAACGAUCGUUAAUACCGCAUAACAUAAUUGAACCGCAUGAUUUGAUUAUCAAAGAUUUAUCGCUGAAAGAUGAGCUCGCGUCUGAUUAGCUAGUUGGUAAGGUAACGGCUUACCAAGGCGACGAUCAGUAGCCGGACUGAGAGGUUGAUAGGCCACAUUGGGACUGAGACACGGCCCAGACUCCUACGGGAGGCAGCAGUGGGGAAUAUUGCACAAUGGAGGAAACUCUGAUGCAGCGAUGCCGCGUGAGGGAAGAAGGUUUUAGGAUUGUAAACCUCUGUCUUCAGGGACGAAAAAAGACGGUACCUGAGGAGGAAGCUCCGGCUAACUACGUGCCAGCAGCCGCGGUAAUACGUAGGGAGCGAGCGUUGUCCGGAAUUACUGGGUGUAAAGGGAGCGUAGGCGGGAUCGCAAGUCAGAUGUGAAAACUAUGGGCUUAACCCAUAAACUGCAUUUGAAACUGUGGUUCUUGAGUGAAGUAGAGGUAAGCGGAAUUCCUAGUGUAGCGGUGAAAUGCGUAGAUAUUAGAGGAACAUCAGUGGCGAAGGCGGCUUACUGGGCUUUAACUGACGCUGAGGCUCGAAAGCGUGGGGAGCAAACAGGAUUAGAUACCCUGGUAGUCCACACCGUAAACGAUGAUUACUAGGUGUGGGGGGACUGACCCCUUCCGUGCCGCAGCAAACGCAAUAAGUAAUCCACCUGGGGAGUACGACCGCAAGGUUGAAACUCAAAGGAAUUGACGGGGGCCCGCACAAGCAGUGGAGUAUGUGGAUUAAUUCGAAGCAACGCGAAGAACCUUACCAGGUCUUGACAUCGUAUGCAUAGCUCAGAGAUGAGUGAAAUCUCUUCGGAGACAUAUAGACAGGUGGUGCAUGGUUGUCGUCAGCUCGUGUCGUGAGAUGUUGGGUUAAGUCCCGCAACGAGCGCAACCCUUACUGUUAGUUGCUACGCAAGAGCACUCUAGCAGGACUGCCGUUGACAAAACGGAGGAAGGUGGGGAUGACGUCAAAUCAUCAUGCCCCUUAUGACCUGGGCCUCACACGUACUACAAUGGCUGUCAACAGAGGGAAGCAAAGCCGCGAGGUGGAGCGAACCCCUAAAAGCAGUCUUAGUUCGGAUUGUAGGCUGCAACCCGCCUACAUGAAGUCGGAAUUGCUAGUAAUCGCAGAUCAGCAUGCUGCGGUGAAUACGUUCCCGGGCCUUGUACACACCGCCCGUCACGCCAUGGGAGUCGGUAACACCCGAAGCCUGUAGUCUAACCGCAAGGAGGACGCAGUCGAAGGUGGGAUUGAUGACUGGGGUGAAGUCGUAACAAGGUA